GUAGUGUACCAAUAGGCCAGGAAAACACUUUUUGUUGAUAGCAGCUGUAAUAUCAGUGAUCCACCACACCAUUAAGACAGAGAUGGAAACACUCCUACAAGAAUUUUGGCUCAUUCCUUUUGGAAGUAGUGACCAAGGACCAGACAUUGUGGGUGUUUACUGAGGCUCUGGACGCCAUCUUUGAUGUGUUUGCAGAUGAUCAUGUGGACCUGUUGUCAUGGAGAUCAGGGUCACAAACAAACUCCAGACCAUAUGGUACCACAGCUGACAGCUAAGAUUCAUCAACAGAAGAGAAGCCUAGGAGCAUAUCUUCCUAUCAGCAUGACAGCAAGGACAAAUCUGAUGUACUUCAUCUAAUGCAAAUCUUGACCAGUAGAACUAAGACAUGUUUUUAUUCUCAAAGUGACUUAAAACUCAGCAGUAAUUGGGAUCAGAGAAAUCUCACUUAAAAAAAUCAUAAACUACAUUUAAAAGUCUGAAGUUUACUUUUUACUGUGUAAAUUAAAAAAAAAAAGAACUUGCUGGAUGGGUGGGAUCCACAUAAUACAUUUUGUUUUCUCCAUUAUGUCUUUCAUGUUAUACAAUUUUAUGUCAUAUUUAAUGUUAUGCAAUGUACAUUAUAAAGAAAAUACAUGUCAAAUGGAUGAGAUCCUUUGUGUAUUUGUAACUGAUUAUUUGUGUUUUAUUAUAACCUUAUUUAUCUGUUGUAAUUACACAUGAACAUACUUGAAUAUAAAAGCAAAAGUGUAGUUAUCAAUAAUUCAGCCAUUUGGAAGGGUAUGUGAAUGAGUGUUUAUGUGUGUAACUGAGUAUAGUUAAAUGUUUGUUCAAUGUAUAGUUCAUUUCUUAAGUUUAAUAGAAGGCAUUUAAAAACGAAUUUAAUUUAGAAAUUGGAGAUAAAUUUGAAUCAGAAAUCAA
Long non-coding RNA from Lingula anatina, 918 nucleotides. NCBI's taxonomy places the organism in Eukaryota, Metazoa, Brachiopoda, Lingulata, Lingulida, Lingulidae. The record is from RefSeq and is a predicted model, not a curated record.